AGAGUUUGAUCCUGGCUCAGAUUGAACGCUGGCGGCAUGCUUUACACAUGCAAGUCGAGCGGCAGCGCGGGGGCAACCCUGGCGGCGAGCGGCGAACGGGUGAGGAAUACAUCGGAACGUACCCCGGAGUGGGGGAUAACGCCGCGAAAGCGGCGCUAAUACCGCAUAUGCUCUGUGGAGGAAAGUGGGGGACCCUGUAAGGGGCCUCACGCUCUGGGCGCGGCCGAUGUCCGAUUAGCUAGUUGGUGAGGUAAUGGCUCACCAAGGCGACGAUCGGUAGCUGGUCUGAGAGGAUGAUCAGCCACACUGGGACUGAGACACGGCCCAGACUCCUACGGGAGGCAGCAGUGGGGAAUUUUGGACAAUGGGGGCAACCCUGAUCCAGCCAUGCCGCGUGCGGGAAGAAGGCCUUCGGGUUGUAAACCGCUUUUAGUCGGGAAGAAAAGAUCAAGCCGAAUAAGCUUGGUUCUUGACGGUACCGGCGGAAUAAGCACCGGCUAACUACGUGCCAGCAGCCGCGGUAAUACGUAGGGUGCGAGCGUUAAUCGGAAUUACUGGGCGUAAAGCGUGCGUAGGCGGUUCGUUAAGUUCGUUGUGAAAGCCCCGGGCUCAACCUGGGAAUGGCAAUGGAAACUGGCGGGCUUGAGUAUGGCAGAGGGGGGUGGAAUUCCGCGUGUAGCAGUGAAAUGCGUAGAGAUGCGGAGGAACACCGAUGGCGAAGGCAGCCCCCUGGGCCAAUACUGACGCUCAGGCACGAAAGCGUGGGGAGCAAACAGGAUUAGAUACCCCCGUAGUCC
Molecule: ribosomal RNA, 797 nt
Filed under: uncultured bacterium
Lineage: Bacteria
Description: bacterial SSU rRNA
Rfam family: Bacterial small subunit ribosomal RNA
Source: RNAcentral